AAUAGAUACCCAGGUAGUCCACGCCGUAAACGAUGAGUGCUAAGUGUUAGGGGGUUUCCGCCCCUUAGUGCUGCAGCUAACGCAUUAAGCACUCCGCCUGGGGAGUACGGUCGCAAGACUGAAACUCAAAGGAAUUGACGGGGGCCCGCACAAGCGGUGGAGCAUGUGGUUUAAUUCGAAGCAACGCGAAGAACCUUACCAGGUCUUGACAUCCCGUUGACCACUGUAGAGAUAUGGUUUCCCCUUCGGGGGCAACGGCGACAGGUGGUGCAUGGUUGUCGUCAGCUCGUGUCGUGAGAUGUUGGGUUAAGUCCCGCAACGAGCGCAACCCUUGAUCUUAGUUGCCAUCAUUUAGUUGGGCACUCUAAGGUGACUGCCGGUGACAAACCGGAGGAGGGUGGGGAUGACGUCAAAUCAUCAUGCCCCUUAUGACCUGGGCUACACACGUGCUACAAUGGACGAUACAAACGGUUGCCAACUCGCGAGAGGGAGCUAAUCCGAUAAAGUCGUUCUCAGUUCGGAUUGUAGGCUGC
Molecule: ribosomal RNA, 533 nt
Filed under: uncultured bacterium
Lineage: Bacteria
Description: bacterial SSU rRNA
Rfam family: Bacterial small subunit ribosomal RNA
Source: RNAcentral